RNAcentral lists this ribosomal RNA (492 nucleotides) under uncultured bacterium. RNAcentral's name for it is "partial 16S ribosomal RNA". It matches the Rfam family "Bacterial small subunit ribosomal RNA", at positions 29 to 507 of the family's 1533-position model. The record is from RNAcentral.
AGUGAACGCUGGCGGUAGGCCUAACACAUGCAAGUCGAACGGCAGCACAGUAAGAGCUUGCUCUUACGGGUGGCGAGUGGCGGACGGGUGAGGAAUACAUCGGAAUCUACUUUUUCGUGGGGGAUAACGUAGGGAAACUUACGCUAAUACCGCAUACGACCUACGGGUGAAAGCAGGGGAUCUUCGGACCUUGCGCGAUUGAAUGAGCCGAUGUCGGAUUAGCUAGUUGGCGGGGUAAAGGCCCACCAAGGCGACGAUCCGUAGCUGGUCUGAGAGGAUGAUCAGCCACACUGGAACUGAGACACGGUCCAGACUCCUACGGGAGGCAGCAGUGGGGAAUAUUGGACAACGGGCGCAAGCCUGAUCCAGCCAUACCGCGUGGGUGAAGAAGGCCUUCGGGUUGUAAAGCCCUUUUGUUGGGAAGGAAAAGCAGCAGGUUAAUACCCCGCUGUUCUGACGGUACCCAAAGAAUAAGCACCGGCUAACUUCGUG